RNAcentral lists this long non-coding RNA (511 nucleotides) under Zonotrichia albicollis (white-throated sparrow). Its description in RNAcentral is "lncRNA (ENSZALG00000018021.1)". Lineage: Eukaryota; Metazoa; Chordata; Aves; Passeriformes; Passerellidae. The record is from RNAcentral.
UGACUAUUGUGCAGGAUUCCUGUUGAGUAUUUGCAGGUGUUACACAUCCAUACUUCUGCAGAAUUGGCCCUCAUCUGUAGAGUUUGUACAUCUACGUUUGCACAGCGGUGGUAAGAUAUGCACACAUAUGUUGAGUCCGUGCCAGAAAUAUCUACUUGUAUUUAUGUUUUUAGGUUUUCCUUGUGAAUGUGCUUUUAAUGUUCAUGGGCUUGUUGCAGCGCUGCCAACAGUGUUAAAAAUAACAGAGCAAGACUGACUUUGAUGACAGGAAAGCAACGUUUUCAUUGUAAAAGUAGAUUUCUGAUUCUGCGGUGAUCAGUUUAAGAAGAGGCAUGAAGAAGAUAAGCAGGACCCGCAUUAAAUUUUGGGAGCUGGUAAAAAGAGUUUCUGUUUCUGUUUGCAGAGUUAAAACUGGCAAAGAAAGAAGGGAAGAAAGAAUGUGCGCUGUCGCCCACCUUCUAGCCAAUAGACUACAAAGGCAUAGCUUGCCAGGGUAUUCACUUUCCUCCUG